AACAAGCUAAUCGAAGAUCAAUUUCUUCAAACUUUUUUUCGUCUAUAUCUUCAAAAUUUAAAUCACUCAUGAUUGCCUCAAACUCGUCAAGAAAAGCAGAAUUGAGCUGAAUUAAUUUGUUAAGACAAGGCGGAAAUAGGGUGUUUAAUUCAUAAAGUCCCAGCAAUUUUUUCGAAGACUUGGCCAAAUCCCGUAAAGGGAGUGCAUAAUCAUUAACUAAAUGGCGUAGUCUCUCAACAUAUGUGCUCUCUGUUUCCAUCAUCUCAAUGAGUAAACUCUUUUUUUUUUGAAUUGCAGGUAUGGUUCCGGCAUCUUUACUAGACGCAAAACUCGGACUCGGACUUGAAGUCUUUUUUCGUGAAUCCUCAAACAUUUCCCUACUUCCUAUAACGGUUUUCCAAUAAGAGUUAGAAGGGUCUUCCCACCAAGAGUUAUCAACCUUUAUGUCAAAAAUAGCAUCUACCACGAAUUCGCGUACACCAUUCGGCUCGCCAAGAGAAUAAAGCUCACGAGUGAGAGAAGAUGACUGGAAAACGUUUAUUGUAUCAAAAAUAUAGGAAGCAUACUCAGGUUCAAUGACUGACUCUCGCCAAUUUUCGCCUGUAUGUAAACAUACAGAUUCCACGCAAAGAAACUCAUAUACGCAUGCAGCAG
Schizosaccharomyces pombe (fission yeast) is the source of this 654-nucleotide non-coding RNA. The record is from the annotation of a GenBank genome assembly. NCBI's taxonomy places the organism in Eukaryota, Fungi, Ascomycota, Schizosaccharomycetes, Schizosaccharomycetales, Schizosaccharomycetaceae.